UCAUGAGAUUCACACUGGGGGAGCGGAGCGAGUGCGAGCACAUCUUGCUGGAGUUUGGGCAAGAGGUUGCUUAGAAGCUGGAGAGUGAAGGUUUGAGGAUGCUGGAGAUUGAUAUAGACAAGCUGGAGUUGGAGCCUCAUUGGAAGAGGAUUUUGGAUCUGCAAGAAGCUUUUGAGGAACUAAAUUAGGCUGCUGAGGAGUUUAGCUUCGAUGAAGGAAUGGAAGAUGAUUCGAAUCAAAAGACAACUAAAAUAGCUUCUUUUUUCA
This is a long non-coding RNA of Selaginella moellendorffii, 267 nucleotides long. RefSeq lists it as uncharacterized. The transcript has 2 exons. NCBI's taxonomy places the organism in Eukaryota, Viridiplantae, Streptophyta, Lycopodiopsida, Selaginellales, Selaginellaceae. The record is from RefSeq and is a predicted model, not a curated record.